This 428-nucleotide ribosomal RNA is filed under the name uncultured bacterium. RNAcentral's name for it is "bacterial SSU rRNA". It matches the Rfam family "Bacterial small subunit ribosomal RNA", at positions 30 to 459 of the family's 1533-position model. The record is from RNAcentral.
AUUGAACGCUGGCGGCAUGCCUUACACAUGCAAGUCGAACGGCAGCACGGGAGCAAUCCUGGUGGCGAGUGGCGAACGGGUGAGUAAUAUAUCGGAACGUGCCCAGUCGUGGGGAUAACGUAGCGAAAGCUACGCUAAUACCGCAUACGAUCUAUGGAUGAAAGCGGGGGAUCGCAAGACCUCGCGCGAUUGGAGCGGCCGAUAUCAGAUUAGGUAGUUGGUGAGGUAAAGGCUCACCAAGCCGACGAUCUGUAGCUGGUCUGAGAGGACGACCAGCCACACUGGGACUGAGACACGGCCCAGACUCCUACGGGAGGCAGCAGUGGGGAAUUUUGGACAAUGGGCGCAAGCCUGAUCCAGCAAUGCCGCGUGCAGGAUGAAGGCCUUCGGUUGGUAACUAGCUUUGUUACGGUAACGAACGGUAGAGC